RNAcentral lists this ribosomal RNA (420 nucleotides) under uncultured archaeon. RNAcentral describes it as "partial 16S ribosomal RNA". It matches the Rfam family "Archaeal small subunit ribosomal RNA", at positions 323 to 746 of the family's 1478-position model. The record is from RNAcentral.
CUACGGGGCGCUCCAGUUAGGAAUCAUCUGCAAUGCGCGCAAGCGUGACAGUUUGAGCCAGAGUGUUUCUCAUUGAGAAACUUUUGCCAAAUGUAAGAAGUUUGGCGAAUAAGGACUGGGUAAGACGGGUGCCAGCCGCCGCGGUAAUACCCGCGGUCCAAGUCGCAGCCACAAUUAUUGGGUCUAAAACAUCCGUAGCUUGCUUGGUAAGUUUCCUGUGAAAUCCGGCAUCUCAAGUGUCGGGCGUGCAGGAAAUACUGCCUUGCUAGAGACUGGAAGACGCAAGAAGUACAUUCAAAGUAGCGGUAAAAUGUGUUAAUCUUGGAUGGACUCACAACAGCGAAGGCAUCUUGCGAGGACAGUUCUGACAGUAAGGGAUGAAGGCUAGGGGCGCAAAGUGGAUUAGAUACCCGUGUAGUC